Molecule: non-coding RNA, 695 nt
Filed under: Macroponema beveridgei
Lineage: Eukaryota; Metazoa; Nematoda; Chromadorea; Rhabditida; Strongylidae
Source: RNAcentral
GCUUUUAUAAAUUUUAAAUUUGAUUGUGGUUUGUAAACAGUUAAAAUAAUAUUAUUUAAAUUUAAUUUAUGAUGUGGGCAAUGUAAAUUUACCCCGGUAAUUUGUUAUUUGUAUUAUGCUUGUUCCAGAAUAAUCGGCUAGGCUUGUUAAAUUUAUAUUUUAUUUUGUUUUAUUUACAAUUUUUUUUUAAUAUGUAAAUUUUAAUAAUUUUAGGUUAAAUUUUAAUUAUUAAUUAUUUGUAAUUGUAAUUUUAUAAUUUGUUAAACAAAUUAGAUUAGUACCUAAUUAGUCAAAAGUUAAAAAAGCAGAAGUAAAGUUGUAUUUAAACUGAAAAAAUAUUGGCAGAUUUUCUAAAUUAUCUUUGGAGGUUGAGUAAUAAUUGAGAACCCUCAUUAACUACUUUUAAAAAUUUUAGUCUCAUGUAUGAUCGUUUAUUUUAUACUUAAGGUAUAUAAUAAAAAAUAAUUAUUUAUAAAAAUAGAUAUAUAUUUGGUUUAUGUAAGAGUAAAAUUUGACCUACAAUAAGUUGUGUUUGUGGUUUUAUAAUGUAGUAUUGUAAUUAAAAUGUAAAAGACAGUAAAAAAAUUUUUAUAUUUUUUUGAAGAUUAUUUAGAUGUGGUACAAAUCAUCCAUCAAUUGCCUCAAGGGGAGUAAGUUGUAGUAAAGUAGAUUUAGGGGAACCUGAAUCUAGUAAU